AACGCACCUUGCACUCUUUAGUUCUCUAAAGAGUAUGCCCGGUUGAGUGUAAUGAAAUUCUCCAAGCCCUCUUAACUUGUUUAAUUGGACUCUGGGUAUUGAGCGCAUGAUGGUAUCGCACCAACUCGCUCGAAAUAUAUUAGCUGGUGUUCAUUAGCACACAGUGAGGCGUAAUAAGUUUUCGUCUCUAUAUCUGUUGCUUUCGGCACUGCUGAUCUUUGAAUCGUCACUGAUUCAAAAACUCUUUGACUUCUUCACCUCAACUCGGGUAGGACUACCCGCUGAACUUAA
RNAcentral lists this unclassified non-coding RNA (291 nucleotides) under uncultured fungus. RNAcentral describes it as "partial contains 5.8S ribosomal RNA, internal transcribed spacer 2, and large subunit ribosomal RNA". Lineage: Eukaryota; Fungi. The record is from RNAcentral.